UGCGAAGGUGGAUCGAGAGGUCUGCUGGAGGUAUCACAAGUGCGAAUGCUGACAUGAGUAACGAUAAGAGGGGUGAAAAACCCCUCCGCCGGAAGAUCAAGGUUUCCUGUCCAACGCUAAUCGGGACAGGGUGAGACGGCCCCUAAGGCGAGGCGGAGACGCGUAGUCGAUGGGAAGCAGGUUAAUAUUCCUGCGCCGCUCUUUACUGCGAUGGGGGGACGGAGAAGGCUAGGCCAGCGUGGCGAUGGUUGUCCACGUGAGAGACUGUAGGCUGGUUGCUUAGGAAAAUCCGGGCGACUAAGGCUGAGGGUCAGGACGAGCACAAAGGGAGACCUGCGUGUGGAGUGGUUGAUGCCCUGCUUCCAGGAAAAGCCUCUAAGCUUCAGGUAGAGAGUGACCGUACUGUAAACCGACACAGGUGAUCAGGUAGAGAAUACCAAGGCGCUUGAAAGAACGAUGUUGAAG
This 465-nucleotide ribosomal RNA is filed under the name Chromera velia. RNAcentral describes it as "partial Bacterial large subunit ribosomal RNA". It matches the Rfam family "Bacterial large subunit ribosomal RNA", at positions 1249 to 1709 of the family's 2925-position model. Lineage: Eukaryota; Chromeraceae. The record is from RNAcentral.